CAGCAGCCGCGGGAACACAGAGGGUGCGAGCGUUAAUCGGAUUUACUGGGCGUAAAGCGUGCGUAGGCGGCUUCUUAAGUCGGAUGUGAAAUCCCUGAGCUUAACUUAGGAAUUGCAUUCGAUACUGGGAAGCUAGAGUAUGGGAGAGGAUGGUAGAAUUCCAGGUGUAGCGGUGAAAUGCGUAGAGAUCUGGAGGAAUACCGAUGGCGAAGGCAGCCAUCUGGCCUAAUACUGACGCUGAGGUACGAAAGCAUGGGGAGCAAACAGGAUUAGAUACCCGCGUAGUCCCUGUCUCUUAUAC
Molecule: ribosomal RNA, 301 nt
Filed under: uncultured bacterium
Lineage: Bacteria
Description: partial 16S ribosomal RNA
Rfam family: Bacterial small subunit ribosomal RNA
Source: RNAcentral